Nylanderia fulva is the source of this 962-nucleotide non-coding RNA. The record is from RefSeq and is a predicted model, not a curated record. NCBI's taxonomy places the organism in Eukaryota, Metazoa, Arthropoda, Insecta, Hymenoptera, Formicidae.
UGAUAAAUGAUAUUUUUUGCACUUCUGUUGUUUGGGUCACUCUUGGCAAAGACAAAGCACUCGCUUACCUAUUAGCAGAUCAAGGAUAUGAUGUUUGAUUGGGCAAUUUUCCUGGUACUGCGUAUUCAAGAGCGCAUAUUUUCCUAUCACCGUCAGAAUGGAAAUUUUGGGAUUACAGCUUUCAUGAAAUAGGCGUCUACGAUUUACCUGCGAUGAUUACACUUAUUACAAAUAUGAGAUCACAACCAUUGCACGCGUACAUUGGUCAUUCUAUGGGCGAAUCUGUUUUUUACGUAAUGGCAACAGAGCGUCCAAAAAUUGCUAGAAUGGUAAAAAUGAUGUUCAGUUUUGGACCAGGAAUUUUCUUAGAUUAUAUGAGAGGUCCACUACGAUCGAUGUUUUAUUUGGUGAAAAAGAUGCAGCCAAUAUUUCGAGUUCUGUUCCAUGACGAAUUACUUACACGAAAAGUUUUUAAAACGGCAAUGGCAUUAAUCGGCUGCAACUCAAAUUUCCUUCUAUCGGAGAUGUGCGCUAUUUUCAUAUUUUCAGUCUUCGGUUACGACCGUGAGCAGUUUACUUACGUGAGUAAUAACUGAACUCAGCUGCCUGUAAUUGUGAGUCACAUACCUGUCAGCCUUUCGACUAAGACAGUGGUGCACAUAACGCAGGGAAUCCAAUCAGGCAAGUUUCGUCGAUACGACUACGGUGCCACGAAAAAUCUCUUAAUCUAUAAUUCGAUAGAACCGCCGGAUUAUGAUUUAUCGAGUGUUAAGGUGCCGAUCGCGAUAUUCUAUGCCAACAACGACUUCCUGGUCGAUCCCAUUAAUGUGAAGAGGUUGUAUAAUUUACUGCCCAACGUAAUAGAUUUGUACAAUGUGCCGCGGCCCAGUUUUAAUCACGUGGGCUUUAUAUGGGCCGAGGAUGCACCUACACUUGUGUACAAAAGAGUUUUUAAAAUCAUG